This 2924-nucleotide ribosomal RNA is filed under the name Staphylococcus aureus. RNAcentral's name for it is "23S ribosomal RNA". It matches the Rfam family "Bacterial large subunit ribosomal RNA". Lineage: Bacteria; Bacillati; Bacillota; Bacilli; Caryophanales; Staphylococcaceae. The record is from RNAcentral.
UUAAGUUAUUAAGGGCGCACGGUGGAUGCCUUGGCACUAGAAGCCGAUGAAGGACGUUACUAACGACGAUAUGCUUUGGGGAGCUGUAAGUAAGCUUUGAUCCAGAGAUUUCCGAAUGGGGAAACCCAGCAUGAGUUAUGUCAUGUUAUCGAUAUGUGAAUACAUAGCAUAUCAGAAGGCAUACCCGGAGAACUGAAACAUCUUAGUACCCGGAGGAAGAGAAAGAAAAUUCGAUUCCCUUAGUAGCGGCGAGCGAAACGGGAAGAGCCCAAACCAACAAGCUUGCUUGUUGGGGUUGUAGGACACUCUAUACGGAGUUACAAAGGACGACAUUAGACGAAUCAUCUGGAAAGAUGAAUCAAAGAAGGUAAUAAUCCUGUAGUCGAAAAUGUUGUCUCUCUUGAGUGGAUCCUGAGUACGACGGAGCACGUGAAAUUCCGUCGGAAUCUGGGAGGACCAUCUCCUAAGGCUAAAUACUCUCUAGUGACCGAUAGUGAACCAGUACCGUGAGGGAAAGGUGAAAAGCACCCCGGAAGGGGAGUGAAAUAGAACCUGAAACCGUGUGCUUACAAGUAGUCAGAGCCCGUUAAUGGGUGAUGGCGUGCCUUUUGUAGAAUGAACCGGCGAGUUACGAUUUGAUGCAAGGUUAAGCAGUAAAUGUGGAGCCGUAGCGAAAGCGAGUCUGAAUAGGGCGUUUAGUAUUUGGUCGUAGACCCGAAACCAGGUGAUCUACCCUUGGUCAGGUUGAAGUUCAGGUAACACUGAAUGGAGGACCGAACCGACUUACGUUGAAAAGUGAGCGGAUGAACUGAGGGUAGCGGAGAAAUUCCAAUCGAACCUGGAGAUAGCUGGUUCUCUCCGAAAUAGCUUUAGGGCUAGCCUCAAGUGAUGAUUAUUGGAGGUAGAGCACUGUUUGGACGAGGGGCCCCUCUCGGGUUACCGAAUUCAGACAAACUCCGAAUGCCAAUUAAUUUAACUUGGGAGUCAGAACAUGGGUGAUAAGGUCCGUGUUCGAAAGGGAAACAGCCCAGACCACCAGCUAAGGUCCCAAAAUAUAUGUUAAGUGGAAAAGGAUGUGGCGUUGCCCAGACAACUAGGAUGUUGGCUUAGAAGCAGCCAUCAUUUAAAGAGUGCGUAAUAGCUCACUAGUCGAGUGACACUGCGCCGAAAAUGUACCGGGGCUAAACAUAUUACCGAAGCUGUGGAUUGUCCUUUGGACAAUGGUAGGAGAGCGUUCUAAGGGCGUUGAAGCAUGAUCGUAAGGACAUGUGGAGCGCUUAGAAGUGAGAAUGCCGGUGUGAGUAGCGAAAGACGGGUGAGAAUCCCGUCCACCGAUUGACUAAGGUUUCCAGAGGAAGGCUCGUCCGCUCUGGGUUAGUCGGGUCCUAAGCUGAGGCCGACAGGCGUAGGCGAUGGAUAACAGGUUGAUAUUCCUGUACCACCUAUAAUCGUUUUAAUCGAUGGGGGGACGCAGUAGGAUAGGCGAAGCGUGCGAUUGGAUUGCACGUCUAAGCAGUAAGGCUGAGUAUUAGGCAAAUCCGGUACUCGUUAAGGCUGAGCUGUGAUGGGGAGAAGACAUUGUGUCUUCGAGUCGUUGAUUUCACACUGCCGAGAAAAGCCUCUAGAUAGAAAAUAGGUGCCCGUACCGCAAACCGACACAGGUAGUCAAGAUGAGAAUUCUAAGGUGAGCGAGCGAACUCUCGUUAAGGAACUCGGCAAAAUGACCCCGUAACUUCGGGAGAAGGGGUGCUCUUUAGGGUUAACGCCCAGAAGAGCCGCAGUGAAUAGGCCCAAGCGACUGUUUAUCAAAAACACAGGUCUCUGCUAAACCGUAAGGUGAUGUAUAGGGGCUGACGCCUGCCCGGUGCUGGAAGGUUAAGAGGAGUGGUUAGCUUCUGCGAAGCUACGAAUCGAAGCCCCAGUAAACGGCGGCCGUAACUAUAACGGUCCUAAGGUAGCGAAAUUCCUUGUCGGGUAAGUUCCGACCCGCACGAAAGGCGUAACGAUUUGGGCACUGUCUCAACGAGAGACUCGGUGAAAUCAUAGUACCUGUGAAGAUGCAGGUUACCCGCGACAGGACGGAAAGACCCCGUGGAGCUUUACUGUAGCCUGAUAUUGAAAUUCGGCACAGCUUGUACAGGAUAGGUAGGAGCCUUUGAAACGUGAGCGCUAGCUUACGUGGAGGCGCUGGUGGGAUACUACCCUAGCUGUGUUGGNNNNUUUCUAACCCGCACCACUUAUCGUGGUGGGAGACAGUGUCAGGCGGGCAGUUUGACUGGGGCGGUCGCCUCCUAAAAGGUAACGGAGGCGCUCAAAGGUUCCCUCAGAAUGGUUGGAAAUCAUUCAUAGAGUGUAAAGGCAUAAGGGAGCUUGACUGCGAGACCUACAAGUCGAGCAGGGUCGAAAGACGGACUUAGUGAUCCGGUGGUUCCGCAUGGAAGGGCCAUCGCUCAACGGAUAAAAGCUACCCCGGGGAUAACAGGCUUAUCUCCCCCAAGAGUUCACAUCGACGGGGAGGUUUGGCACCUCGAUGUCGGCUCAUCGCAUCCUGGGGCUGUAGUCGGUCCCAAGGGUUGGGCUGUUCGCCCAUUAAAGCGGUACGCGAGCUGGGUUCAGAACGUCGUGAGACAGUUCGGUCCCUAUCCGUCGUGGGCGUAGGAAAUUUGAGAGGAGCUGUCCUUAGUACGAGAGGACCGGGAUGGACAUACCUCUGGUGUACCAGUUGUCGUGCCAACGGCAUAGCUGGGUAGCUAUGUGUGGACGGGAUAAGUGCUGAAAGCAUCUAAGCAUGAAGCCCCCCUCAAGAUGAGAUUUCCCAACUUCGGUUAUAAGAUCCCUCAAAGAUGAUGAGGUUAAUAGGUUCGAGGUGGAAGCAUGGUGACAUGUGGAGCUGACGAAUACUAAUCGAUCGAAGACUUAAUCAA